CCUCACAGGGAACAAUUUCUUCCCAGGAUCCCAUCUAAUCUUGCCCUCUGUGGUGGGUCCUGUGCCACAUCAAAGGCCCCUAGAGCUGCAGGUGUUUGCAUUAACCUGCUGCAGCUGCUCAGGGAACAGACUCGAGGGUUCUGCUACGACUGCCUGGCAGAUUCUGUCCUGGCAGCUCACCCAGAGGAGCUCACAUGGAGGAGCAGAGGAUCCCAGGAGCUGUGCAGGGAGGGUCCUUAGGAUGGGCAGAGCCCCUGAGGACCAGGGGGGCAGUGGGAGACCCCCCAGCAGCAACAGGCUGCUGCCCACAGGGCUUGUGGCUCCCUGUGGGAUCCCAGGGCAGGUGGGACUGCUCUGGGCUGUGUGGGAAGGAGGGACUGGGGGGAAGAGCAAGUGCAGGAAACAGACAGCAACGGGCCAGUUGUGUGUAAAAGAAAAAAGAGAAGAAGAAAUAACAGCUCACCACAGAUGCUCUUCUUUUCCAGCAGUUGGCCGAGUCUGUGGCUCUUUCUGUUGCACAGGGAGAGCCCACCUUUCCAUCAGUGUUUUACAGCCCAGGGACUUCACUCCUGCAGGAGCAGCCACAGACACAGACUCUCUCCAGAGACUCGUAUCUGCUCUGAGAAUCCUCAGCAGAGCCAUCCUGGGGGAACCGGGAGCCACAGGCCAAAGCCCUGCAGUGCUCCAAGACCCCAGGGAAAAAUGUCCUUUCCCACCCCACCUUCCUCAUCUCCCCUUCCAGGAAAGAACCAAGGACCAGGAGCAUAGCUGUGUUUUCCAGUCUUUUAGUUUGAAAAAAGUAUUGAUUGAAAGUGUACAACCGAACACGGCGUGGCCUCAGCACCACCGCCAGAUUGUUUCACAAAUAAAAACAGAAAGGGCCUUAAAUAAUCGGGUGCAGAUUAAAAAAACCUCAACAGUGAAAAAGUUCUUCCCUCCGAACAGAAAUUCACAGGCACAGAAAUGGCAACAACCACAUGGAGACAAUGGGGGGACAUCCUCCUCCUCCUCCUCACCACGGGCUCUGCGCUGUGGCGCUCCCGGGCGCAGCUCCGUCCUCGCUCCCUCUUUGGAAUGGUUACGGAUGAACAGUGCGACAUGCCCUCGCUAACCACACCCGCCCCCCACCCCCCGACCAGGACACGGACAAACAAGGCCUCUACUAAGGCUAAAAAAAGGACAAGACUUGGAGUCUUGAGUUCAGCAUGGGAUAAUGAUUUCAGUGGUUUGGGUCCUUCUGCAGAAGUACAGAUGACCAAGUGGGUUCAAACUACCAUGAAGCCAGGUCCCCAGGAAGCAACACACCGAGGUCCCUCAAGAGACAGAGAGCAGGAAAGGCCCUGUUCCCAAAGGCAGCAGUCUGGUUUUGGGACAGUUUAUAUGAGCUGGUUUCUGAUAACCCAGCUACUGGCACUACAGCCUGGGAGGUGCUAGGUGCUGCUUUCCACUGGUGUCCAACUGCUUCAUGGCCAUUUUCUCCAAUCAGACUGAAAUCUCCCAUCAAAU
Long non-coding RNA from Neopelma chrysocephalum (saffron-crested tyrant-manakin), 1506 nucleotides. RefSeq lists it as uncharacterized. The transcript has 3 exons. The record is from RefSeq and is a predicted model, not a curated record. NCBI's taxonomy places the organism in Eukaryota, Metazoa, Chordata, Aves, Passeriformes, Pipridae.